CCUACGGGGGGCAGCAGUGGGGAAUAUUGGGCAAUGGGCGCAAGCCUGACCCAGCAACGCCGCGUGAAGGAAGAAGGCCCUCGGGUUGUAAACUUCUUUUGUCAGGGACGAAGAAAGUGACGGUAACUGACGAAUAAGCUACGGCUAACUUCGCGCCAGCAGCGGCGGUAAUACGUAGGUGGCAAGCGUUAUCCGGAUUUACUGGGUGGAAAGGGCGGGUAGGCGGGACUGCAAGACAGAUGUGAAAUUCCAGGGCUCAACCCUGGAACUGCAUUUGAGACUGGAGUUCUAGAGUGAUGGAGAGGCAGGCGGAAUUCCGUGUGUAGCGGUGAAAUGCGUAGAGAUACGGAAGAACACCAAUGGCGAAGGCAGCCUGCUGGACAUUAACUGACGCUGAGGCACGAAAGCGUGGGGAGCAAACAGGAUUAGAUACCCCAGUAGUC
Molecule: ribosomal RNA, 443 nt
Filed under: uncultured bacterium
Lineage: Bacteria
Description: partial 16S ribosomal RNA
Rfam family: Bacterial small subunit ribosomal RNA
Source: RNAcentral